RNAcentral lists this ribosomal RNA (1489 nucleotides) under metagenome. Its description in RNAcentral is "bacterial SSU rRNA". It matches the Rfam family "Bacterial small subunit ribosomal RNA". The record is from RNAcentral.
AGAGUUUGAUCCUGGCUCAGGAUGAACGCUGGCGGCGUGCUUAAGACAUGCAAGUCGAACGGACGAUUAAAAAUGAAGCUUCGGCAGAUUUUUUAAAAGUUAGUGGCGAACGGGUGAGUAAUAGAUAAGUAACUUGCCCUUAAGUCUGGAAUAACUUUCUGAAAAGAGAGCUAAUACCAGAUACACUUUUUUAAUCGCAUGAUUAAGAAAGGAAAGGAUUUUUCCGCUUAAAGAGAGGCUUAUGUCUGAUUAGCUUAUUGGCAGGGUAAAGGCCUACCAAGGCAAUGAUCAGUAGCUGGUCUGAGAGGAUGAUCAGCCACACUGGGACUGAGACACGGCCCAGACUCCUACGGGAGGCAGCAGUCGGGAAUAUUGCGCAAUGGGGGAAACCCUGACGCAGCGACGCCGCGUGAGUGAGGAAGUCUUUCGGGAUGUAAAGCUCUGUCAAGAGGGAAGAUAAUGACGGUACCUCUAGAGGAAGCCCCGGCUAACUACGUGCCAGCAGCCGCGGUAAUACGUAGGGGGCAAGCGUUAUCCGGAUUUAUUGGGCAUAAAGAGCGCGUAGGCGGUAAUUUAAGUCAGAUGUUAAAGGCUUUAGCUUAACUAAGGUAUGCAUUUGAAACUGGAUUACUAGAGAUCAGGAGAGGGAAGCGGAACUCACGGUGUAGCGGUGGAAUGCGUAGAUAUCGUGAGGAACACCAGUUGCGAAGGCGGCUUCCUGGACUGAUUCUGACGCUGUGGCGCGAAAGCAUGGGUAGCGAACGGGAUUAGAUACCCCGGUAGUCCAUGCCGUAAACGUUGUUCACUAGGUGAAGGGAGAUCGACCCUCCCUGUGCCAAAAUAAUUCGUUAAGGGAACCGCCUGGGAAGUACGACCGCAAGGUUAAAACUCAAAGGAAUUGACGGGGGCCCGCACAAGCAGUGGAGCAUGUGGUUUAAUUCGACGAUACGCGAAGAACCUUACCAGGGCUUGACAUCUACAGAAUUCCCUAGAAAUAGGGAAGUGCCCGCAAGGGAGCUGUAAGACAGGUGGUGCAUGGCUGUCGUCAGCUCGUGUCGUGAGAUGUUGGGUUAAGUCCCGCAACGAGCGCAACCCUCGUUUCGUGUUGCCAGCAUUAAUGAUGGGAACUCACGAAAGACUGCCUGUGGAAAGCAGGAGGAAGGUGGGGAUGAGGUCAAGUCAUCAUGCCUCUUACGCCCUGGGCUACACACAUGCUACAAUGGCUGGUACAAAGGGUCGCGAAACCGCGAGGUCUAGCUAAUCUCAUAAAACCAGCCUCAGUUCAGAUUGCAGUCUGCAACUCGACUGCAUGAAGUUGGAAUUGCUAGUAAACGCAGAUCAGCAAUGCUGCGUUGAAUACGUUCCCGGGCCUUGUACACACCGCCCGUCACACCAUGAAAGUCGGAAACACCCGAAGCCAAUGUGCAAACCUUUUGGAUGCAGUUGUCGAAGGUGGAGUCGGCGAUUGGGGUGAAGUCGUAACAAGGUA